CUGCUUGUAGCAAUACCUGUUCCUCAUCCACUUAAGGACAGGAUUACAUCUGUGACAUACUAAAUUUAAAAGAAAUAUUAGGGCUGCCAACCUUAGAACAAAGGUUAUCUAGAAGUGUAUGUCUCUUUUAAAA
RNAcentral lists this small nucleolar RNA (133 nucleotides) under Neotoma lepida (desert woodrat). Its description in RNAcentral is "Small nucleolar RNA U109". It matches the Rfam family "Small nucleolar RNA U109". Lineage: Eukaryota; Metazoa; Chordata; Mammalia; Rodentia; Cricetidae. The record is from Rfam by way of RNAcentral.